AACAGGAUUAGAUACCCUGGUAGUCCACGCCCUAAACGAUGCCAACUGGUUGUUGGGAGGGUUUCUUCUCAGUAACGUAGCUAACGCGUGAAGUUGACCGCCUGGGGAGUACGGCCGCAAGGUUGAAACUCAAAGGAAUUGACGGGGACCCGCACAGGCGGUGGAUGAUGUGGUUUAAUUCGAUGCAACGCGAAAAACCUUACCUACCCUUGACAUGCCAGGAAUCUUGCAGAGAUGUGAGAGUGCUCGAAAGAGAACCUGGACACAGGUGCUGCAUGGCCGUCGUCAGCUCGUGUCGUGAGAUGUUGGGUUAAGUCCCGCAACGAGCGCAACCCUUGUCAUUAGUUGCUACGAAAGGGCACUCUAAUGAGACUGCCGGUGACAAACCGGAGGAAGGUGGGGAUGACGUCAGGUCAUCAUGGCCCUUAUGGGUAGGGCUACACACGUCAUACAAUGGCCGGGACGGAGGGCUGCCAACCCGCGAGGGGGAGCUAAUCCCAGAAACCCGGUCGUAGUCCGGAUCGCAGUCUGCAACUCGACUGCGUGAAGUCGGAAUCGCUAGUAAUCGCGGAUCAGCUUGCCGCGGUGAAUACGUUCCCGGGUCUUGUACACACCGCCCGUCACACCAUGGGGGCGGGUUCUGCCAGAAGUAGUUAGCCUAACCGCAAGGAGGGCGAUUACCACGGCAGGGUUCGUGACUGGGGUGAAGUCGUAACAAGGUAACC
RNAcentral lists this ribosomal RNA (725 nucleotides) under uncultured bacterium. RNAcentral's name for it is "bacterial SSU rRNA". It matches the Rfam family "Bacterial small subunit ribosomal RNA", at positions 771 to 1501 of the family's 1533-position model. The record is from RNAcentral.